Long non-coding RNA from Xenia sp. Carnegie-2017, 258 nucleotides. RefSeq lists it as uncharacterized. Lineage: Eukaryota; Metazoa; Cnidaria; Anthozoa; Malacalcyonacea; Xeniidae. The transcript is spliced from 2 exons. The record is from RefSeq and is a predicted model, not a curated record.
AUACUAUAUAUUACAGAUAAACUUCAAAAAUACUUAUCUUCCAUCUAGCAAUCCAGUAUCAGACUCUCUUAAAUUAUUUGCUGAAAAUGAAAUGAUGCUUACCGUAUCAUGGCAAUGAUAGCGAGACGAAACUUGGCGUAAGUUAUUUCCUUUGGGAAAUUAAAAUUACCAGAAGACACUUGCCUUUGUACAUACGCAACAUAAUAUUUGUACAUAGGUAAACUGAACAAGAAUAAAAAAGAAAAAACAUUCAAAAGA